AACAGCGAGGAUGUUGGCUUAGAAGCAGCCAUUCAUUUAAAGAGUGCGUAACAGCUCACUCGUCAAGAGAUUUUGCGUGGAAAAUGUAACGGGGCUAAAGUGUUAUACCGAAGAUAUGGAUUUCGUUAUUCCUACGGGUUUAACGGAGUGGUAGAGGAGCGUUCCUAUCGGCAGUGAAGCUCAAUCGUAAGGUUGGGUGGAGCGUUAGGAAGUGAGAAUGCUGGAAUGAGUAACCAUAAGAAAGGUGAGAAUCCUUUCGGCCGUAAGAGCGAGGUUUCCAGGGCUACUGUAAUAAUCCCUGGGUUAGUCGGGCCUAAGCCGAGGCGUAGCAGCGUAGGCGAUGGACAUCAGGUUAAUAUUCCUGAACCGGUUAUAAUUUGUAUACUGUGUACGGUAAAUUAGUCGAAGCGGAUUAUUGGUAUAUAUCCGUCCAACUUAGCGGGAACGCAAAAGGAGUGAAAGUUAAUCUACGGAUUAACGAUUUUGAUGAAAGUACUGGCUAGAAAAGCAGAUAUACGCGUGGUUAUAGCCGCCCGUACCGCAAACCAACACAGGUGCUCGAGUCGAGUAGACUCAGGCUUACGAGAGACCCUUCGCUAAGGAACUCGGCAAAACAGCGACCGUAACUUCGGGAUAAGGUCUGCCUCCGCAUCAUUCGAUGCGAGUCGUGUUUCAAGCAAUUAGGUUAAGAUUAAUGGUAUAUAUGAGUAUCUUAAACUUCUUUACCGAGAUAGACAAGUCAAAUGGCUUAGCUUGGAACGCGGCAACCUCGUGUCAAACGAUGCGGAGGCCGCAGCAAAAGAGCCCACGGAACUGUUUACCAAAAACACAGGUCUCUGCUAACACGAAAGUGGAUGUAUAGGGGCUGACUCCUGCCCAGUGCUGGAAGGUUAAGGGGAGUGCUUUACGGUGCGAACUGAAGCCCCAGUGAACGGCGGCGGUAACUAUAACCGUCCUAAGGUAGCGAAAUUCCUUGUCAGGUAAGUUCUGACCCGCACGAAUGGAGUAAUCAUGUGGGCACUGUCUCGGCGAAGGACUCGGUGAAAGUGCAUUGGCGGUAAAGAUGCCGUCUGUCCAUGCCAGGACGAGAAGACCCCAUGGAGCUUUACUACAGCUUUACAUUGACACGGGUUACAUCAUGUGUAGCAUAGGUGGGAGGCUUUGAAGCAGAUACGCCAGUAUUUGUGGAGCCACAGGUGAAAUACCACCCUUGAUGUAGUCUUUGUCUUACCAUUGCCGUUAUCCGGUAAUGGGACCGUGUAUGGUGGGUAGUUUAACUGGGGCGGUUGCCUCCUAAAGAGUAGCGGAGGCGUUCAAAGGUUGGCUAGCUUCGGAUGGAAAUCGAAGUGAUAGUGCAUGCGCAAAAGCCAGCUUGACUGCGAGAAUUACAAUUCGACCAGAGUGGAAACACGGAGCAAGUGACCCGCUGUAAGAACAUUGUUCAUUGAAUGUGGGAUCGACAGCGCACACGGAUAAAAGUUACCCUGGGGAUAACAGGCUUAUCGCGCCCAAUAGUUCACAUAGACGGCGCGGUUUGGCACCUCGAUGUCGGCUCAUCACAUCCUGGAGGGGGAGCACCUUCCAAGGGUUCGGCUGUUCGCCGAUUAAAGUGGUACGCGAGCUGGGUUCAG
This 1631-nucleotide ribosomal RNA is filed under the name human oral metagenome. RNAcentral's name for it is "bacterial LSU rRNA". It matches the Rfam family "Bacterial large subunit ribosomal RNA", at positions 1088 to 2614 of the family's 2925-position model. The record is from RNAcentral.